AUGCUGAAGGCGGCGACGCCCAUGGGGGCCGAGGAGGAGGCCAUGCUCAAGGCGCUGGCCCACAAGCAGGAGGCUGCUCCGGCGCCGGCCACGGCGGGGUCAUGGGCGACGGAGGGCAUCACGGGCGCGGCGUCGGCGGCGGUGGAGCGCUACUGGGCCAGCCUCAAGAGCCAGGCCCGCGCUGCCGGCGAGUACACGACGAGCAAGGCCCACGCGGCCGGUGAGUACACGACGCUCAAGGCCCGCGCCGCCGGCGAGUACACUACGAGCAAGGCCCUCGCGGCCGGCGAGUACACUGCGAGCAAGGCCCGCGCCGCCGGCGAGUACACGACGACCAAGGCCCGCGCGGCCGGGGAGUACACGACGCUCAAGGCCCUCGCGGCCGGCGAGUACACUACGAGCAAGGCCCGCGCGGCCGGCGAGUACACGACGCUCAGGACGCGCCAGGGCGUCGCCCUCUUCGGCGAGCCCAACAUCGGCCCCAUCAAGACCAUCGUUGAUCGUUGCUAG
This 510-nucleotide ribosomal RNA is filed under the name Triticum aestivum (bread wheat). RNAcentral describes it as "partial small subunit ribosomal RNA". The record is from RNAcentral. Lineage: Eukaryota; Viridiplantae; Streptophyta; Magnoliopsida; Poales; Poaceae.